UACGAAGGGGGCUAGCGUUGCUCGGAAUCACUGGGCGUAAAGGGUGCGUAGGCGGAUUUCUAAGUCAGGGGUGAAAGCCUGAGGCUCAACCUCAGAACUGCCUUUGAUACUGGAAGUCUUGAGACCGGAAGAGGUAAGUGGAACUGCGAGUGUAGAGGUGAAAUUCGUAGAUAUUCGCAAGAACACCAGUGGCGAAGGCGGCUUACUGGUCCGGUUCUGACGCUGAGGCACGAAAGCGUGGGGAGCAAACAGG
RNAcentral lists this ribosomal RNA (253 nucleotides) under uncultured bacterium. Its description in RNAcentral is "partial 16S ribosomal RNA". It matches the Rfam family "Bacterial small subunit ribosomal RNA", at positions 524 to 776 of the family's 1533-position model. The record is from RNAcentral.